RNAcentral lists this non-coding RNA (122 nucleotides) under Pteridomonas danica. The record is from RNAcentral. Lineage: Eukaryota; Dictyochophyceae; Pedinellales.
GCAAAAGUUAAACUACAUACAGAAAACUUACACAAUUCCGAUGUAACAUUGUUUUUCUGUACUAUUCCUUUUCCUUUUCUUUUCCCUAUUCUUUUUGUAUCUCUUUUAAAAUGAUGAGGAUG